GUGGAUGUAGUCAAGCGGUUAAGACACAGGAUUGUGCAAUCCCUGCAUGCGUGGGUUCGAAUCCCAUCAUCCACCCCA
Molecule: transfer RNA, 78 nt
Filed under: Serpentinicella alkaliphila
Lineage: Bacteria; Bacillati; Bacillota; Clostridia; Peptostreptococcales; Natronincolaceae
Description: tRNA-His
Rfam family: tRNA
About the family: Transfer RNA (tRNA) molecules are approximately 80 nucleotides in length. Their secondary structure includes four short double-helical elements and three loops (D, anti-codon, and T loops). Further hydrogen bonds mediate the characteristic L-shaped molecular structure. tRNAs have two regions of fundamental functional importance: the anti-codon, which is responsible for specific mRNA codon recognition, and the 3' end, to which the tRNAs corresponding amino acid is attached (by aminoacyl-tRNA synthetases). tRNAs cope with the degeneracy of the genetic code in two manners: having more than one tRNA (with a specific anti-codon) for a particular amino acid; and 'wobble' base-pairing, i.e. permitting non-standard base-pairing at the 3rd anti-codon position.
Source: RNAcentral